Molecule: small RNA, 1484 nt
Filed under: Rattus norvegicus (Norway rat)
Lineage: Eukaryota; Metazoa; Chordata; Mammalia; Rodentia; Muridae
Description: uncharacterized LOC102551729
Source: RNAcentral
AUUACCGCAGGAGCCCUCCAUGAUGUGAGAAGGGUUAACGUCAUCUGAGCAGAUUAGGAAUUUUCUGGUUCUCUCCUCCGGAGUGAAAAGCGGAUUCAGAGGUUAGACCUUAAGUAGUGUUCCCAGCCAACCAAAGGCAGGAAUGGCCAGACUGGCUUUGGAGUCCAGAGUCCUCGGAGGCUCUCAGUCACUACUGUGAUCCCAAGAAGGCACUGAGAUGUCACCACAAGGAGCUGCCCAGCCCUGGCCAUCACCCCUGGGGAAACAGGCUGGAACUGGACUCCUGCAAGUCACUAAUUCCCUGACUCAAGAUCUUUUGGACUAGAUUGAGCAUCCAGCCUGUGCUAGCCCUUGAGGCCAGGGAGGCUUUAACGAUGUGAACACUGCACAGGCCUUCCAGAACAUGCCUCCAGCAGAACCCCAGCAGCACAUCCAGCAGCUCUGCCCGACCGGGUCUGGAUGUGGACCAAUCAGCUGCAGCCAAGAGGCAGGAUCAGCGAUUCAGCCCUGUGGACAGAGGGACCAGAGCCUUUGGAUCCUCCUCUGCUUCCUGGUCCUCCUCCAGGCCCUGCUUAAUUAAAGCUGGUUCUCCUCUCUCCCACUGUCUUCAUCCCAGGACCGCACAACUGGGGGGUGGGGGGGGGGAGGAGACAGUUGUCCCUUCUUUCUCUUGGCAUUCGUUUGCCCAUCCUCCACAGCCUGAUUUACUGUUUGUGAAUCAGUGGUCGCAUGCAUCCCAAGUUGGCCUCAAACUCACUGCAGAGUAGAAGAAGCUUUGAAUGCUCGAUCUUCCUGCCUCCACUCCCUAAACGCUGGGAUUACAGAGUAUGCUACCACAUCUGGUCUGUUUGGUUUUUAAAACAGGGUCUUGCUAUGCAGCCCUGACUGUCUUAGCUCAAGGUCCUCCUACAUUUGCCUUCUGGAUGCUGUGCUGGUAGGCCUGUGCCACUGGCCUGGGUCCAAGCCAUCCUCCUGAGGCACUCACCGGGCUCCUAUUUCCCCACUUCAAAAUUUGAAAGGCUCGGUGCAAAGCCACAGUCGCUUAGAGAUUUCACCACCUGCCUUUCUUGGCUUGCCUCCAGGGUCUUCCAGCCCUUCUUCUCAUCCUCAAGGCCGCAGGACCCCAGGCUUCUGGUCCAGUUCCUCAAAAAAUGCACCCACAGCCUUUCCUCAGGCUCUGUUCCCAUUGCUCCUUGGCUAGGGUCCUUCCAGGCUGAUGGGAAAUGCCUUCUUCCCUCUGGCUGCCUUUUCCGAUUCCUCAGGUGGAAUUAAUUGCCGCCUGUGUUCCCAUUGUACCUGUAAACACUUCAGAGCCGGCGCGGCCACCCAUCUAUUAAGGCUGUUUUAUCUGCCGAGCUUCCCAACUGUGGCUCUUAAGUGCCCAGACAAUGGAGGCUAUCUGAUUCAUUUAAAAUUUUGCCCUGCACACAGUAGGCACACGAUACAUGCUUGUUAUGUUGAAUAGAUAAUUGCCAUUCACAUCA